AUCGACACUUUGAACGCAUAUUGCAGGCUUGUGCUUGUCACAGGCCUACCCUUGUAUCAGGGUCGGUUGAAAAUCAUCCAUCAGGAGGCUUGUCGCUUCCUGCCCUGUCUCUCUGGCUGGCUUGUUCCAGAUCAAGGGACCAAGGUGAGUCCGGCAGGUUUGGCUUGCUUCCCAACUCUAGGGUUUUACUCCCGGGUUGGGUGCACGCUGCCAGACUCGUGGCGUGUGAGGAGUGUCCUAGACUUGCUCCUCUCUUGGCGCCUUUCCUUUUUUUUUCGACCUGACAUCAAGGGAGGC
This 297-nucleotide unclassified non-coding RNA is filed under the name Pontella rostraticauda. RNAcentral describes it as "partial contains 5.8S rRNA, ITS2 and 28S rRNA". The record is from RNAcentral. Lineage: Eukaryota; Metazoa; Arthropoda; Copepoda; Calanoida; Pontellidae.